GGGGCUGAUUAUGGAUUCGACAAAAUUAUUGAAAACUAAAGUGCAUGCCGAGGAACGGUUUGCCUCGUUAAAAGCCGUAAAAAUAUAAUAGCAAAACAUAAAAACUACGCUUUAGCAGCUUAAUAACCUAAGUUAAAGCCCUCUUUCUUUACUUAUUCUCUUAAAGAAAAGAUAAAAGGGGUUAAAAAAACAAGAGAUCGCAAAUUCGAGUCAUACUUACAAUCUUGAUUUGUUAAAAUUUCUGUAAGUAAUAAUCUAUACGCGUGUCUAUACGUUUGUAGAUAAUCACCAAUAAUAGACUAAGCAUGUAGUACUGAAGUCGUAAAAGUUUUGGACGCGGGUUCGAUUCCCGCCAGCUCCACAA
This 364-nucleotide transfer-messenger RNA is filed under the name Enterobacteriaceae (enterobacteria). RNAcentral describes it as "Buchnera aphidicola_AT Standard tmRNA". It matches the Rfam family "transfer-messenger RNA". Rfam says of the family: Bacterial tmRNA, also known as 10Sa RNA or SsrA, is named for its dual tRNA and mRNA-like properties. Its role is to liberate the mRNA from a stalled ribosome. RNAcentral also lists the same sequence under 1 other name. The record is from RNAcentral. Lineage: Bacteria; Pseudomonadati; Pseudomonadota; Gammaproteobacteria; Enterobacterales.